GUGACGUCUGAUGUAUAUGCGAAGUAGAGGGUCUGCACAUCCAAGCCUCCAUGAAAGAUUGUUUCAGAUUUUUAAAGAUUUGACCUCUGAUUUUACUGCUAAUUAAGUAAGAAUUUGAUCCUUAUUCAUGUAGAUAAAUAAAAAAAUUAGAUGCAACCUGGGCUAUCCGAAGAGAAACAAUUUUUCUUCCUUCAACUCUUCACAAGGAUUGCUUUCAC
RNAcentral lists this long non-coding RNA (218 nucleotides) under Elaeis guineensis (African oil palm). RNAcentral describes it as "long non-coding RNA (EGUI_LNC066864)". Lineage: Eukaryota; Viridiplantae; Streptophyta; Magnoliopsida; Arecales; Arecaceae. The record is from RNAcentral.